This is a long non-coding RNA of Triplophysa dalaica, 1621 nucleotides long. RefSeq lists it as uncharacterized. Lineage: Eukaryota; Metazoa; Chordata; Actinopteri; Cypriniformes; Nemacheilidae. The record is from RefSeq and is a predicted model, not a curated record. The transcript is spliced from 3 exons.
AGAUAUUACUAGUGCUGACCGACAUGGUGGAAAAGGAUCAUUACUGGAAUAUUAUUAUAUGGUUAAAUCAAGAUAUUACUAGUGCUGACCGACAUGGUGGAAAAGGAUCAUUACUUGCAUAUUAAUAUAUGGUUAACAUCAAGAUUUUACUAGUGCUGACCAACAUGGAGAUGAAAUAUGUGUCAUUAUAUGAAGACUGCGCUACAAGAAAGCCUAUGAAAAGAUCUUACAGUCUAUAUUCUACCACGUUCUACUACAUUGGCAUACUACUAGUUGGAAGAUGGAUAAUUGUUUAAAUUUGAUGAUGUUGUUUCUUUUCCCUGUUCCUAAUAAAGUACUAUAGAACCCUACAUUGUGUUUCUUUACUGCUGCUAUUAUGUAGGCAGAAAUAUGCAUUGUUUGGUCUGAACCUACAGCAUACUCUGAAAACACUGGGUUGUUUUAUCCUAUGGUUGGGUCAAAAAGAACAUUUUCUGUGAAAAGUUUAAAAAGGUUGGUUCCUUUUUCACCCAACCAUGGGUUAAAAAUAACCCAGCAUUGUGUGCGUGCACGCGUAUGUGUGUUCACAAGAGAGAUCUUGUGUCUGGUAAGAGAUUAAACACACAGACUAAUCUGCCAAAUGAAUUCAUGUGAAGUAAAUGUAAUCAAAAUGGCAUGAGCUGAUGAAAAGAUAAUACAAAGAUAACCUUAUAUUUUGACUCUGUUUCAGAACUUGUACUUGACCUUUACAUUGAUGCUUAUUUUCCCCGAUUGAGAAACACCAAAGUUUAGAUGUGGUGGAGGGUUCGGCUGCAGCAGCUGCUCCUGCUUCUAAAUCAGAGACAAGUUGAUGACAACAUUGACGGACGGCAAAGACCCGACGGAACACAGUGAGGGUGGGAGACGGCGGGUAUAUCAAUAAAGAACUUUCUAAAGGAAAGAGUGACCAGAGGAGAACUGGUCCCCCGGUGAAGUCUGGGUUCUCCCAAGGUUUUUUUCUCCACAACAUUUUGGAGUUUUGGUUCCUUGCCACAGUUGCCACUGGCUUGCUCACUGGGGGAAUAUUGAUGUUAAUAAACUCUUUCCACACAAACACUUGGUCUUUAUUUAUUUGUAACAGAAACAACUGCUCAACAAUAUAUGAAAAACCCCACUUAGAACACAACAACCAGCCUGGUCCUCUUAGUUUCUACCUAUGCAUAAACUAAAGUUUCAAGUUUAGUUUUAUAACCACUUUUUUCUUCAAUUCUGAUGGAUGGAUAGGUGCUUGAUUGUGCAGAGAUUUAGAUUACAAAGAAUAAGAUUAAAAAAAUUAUUCUGAAUUGAACAGGCAGCCAAUGAAGGGCCUUCAAGAGUGAAGUGGCGUAUUUCAUUUCUUAGAAGGAAUCUAGAUGCAGCGUUUUGGACCAAUAGAAGACAGGCGAUUUGAGCUUUGGAGAUGUCACAGUAUAAAGAGUUACAAUAAUCGCAAAAUAAGACGCAAUGUAAUAAAAACAUGAACAGCCAUCUCCAAAGUCUUGUCAGUGGGAAAGUGUUUAAACUUUGCAAGUAUACAGAGCUGGUGAAAACUGGAUCCAACCACAGUGGAAAUUUGUUUGUUGAAUUUUAAAAGAACCCCCAGAUUCUGAACUUGUGAGGAACG